RNAcentral lists this ribosomal RNA (322 nucleotides) under uncultured bacterium. Its description in RNAcentral is "bacterial SSU rRNA". It matches the Rfam family "Bacterial small subunit ribosomal RNA", at positions 83 to 422 of the family's 1533-position model. The record is from RNAcentral.
AGCAAUACGUCAGCGGCAGACGGGUGAGUAACGCGUGGGAACGUACCUUUUGGUUCGGAACAACACAGGGAAACUUGUGCUAAUACCGGAUAAGCCCUUACGGGGAAAGAUUUAUCGCCGAAAGAUCGGCCCGCGUCUGAUUAGCUAGUUGGUGAGGUAAUGGCUCACCAAGGCGACGAUCAGUAGCUGGUCUGAGAGGAUGAUCAGCCACAUUGGGACUGAGACACGGCCCAAACUCCUACGGGAGGCAGCAGUGGGGAAUAUUGGACAAUGGGGGCAACCCUGAUCCAGCCAUGCCGCGUGAGUGAUGAAGGCCCUAGGG